This 328-nucleotide ribosomal RNA is filed under the name uncultured eukaryote. RNAcentral describes it as "partial 18S ribosomal RNA". It matches the Rfam family "Eukaryotic small subunit ribosomal RNA", at positions 1470 to 1796 of the family's 1831-position model. The record is from RNAcentral.
CCCUUAGAUGUCCUGGGCUGCACGCGCGCUACACUGAUGUGUCCAGUAAGCACCUAACCUCUUCCGAAAGGAACGGGUAACCUUUGCAAAGCACAUCGUGAUGGGGAUAGAUUAUUGAAAUUAUUAAUCUUGAACGAGGAAUUCCUAGUAAACGCAGAUCAUCAAUCUGCAUUGAUUACGUCCCUGCCCUUUGUACACACCGCCCGUCGCACCUACCGAUUGGAUGGUCCGGUGAAGCCUCGGGAUUGUGGUUCUUGCCGCUUUAUUGUGGCGUGACCGCGAGAACUUGUCUAAACCUUAUCAUCUAGAGGAAGGUGAAGUCGUAACA